Molecule: non-coding RNA, 2559 nt
Organism: Chiloscyllium plagiosum (whitespotted bambooshark)
Lineage: Eukaryota; Metazoa; Chordata; Chondrichthyes; Orectolobiformes; Hemiscylliidae
Source: RefSeq, a predicted model, not a curated record
CGGCUGUCUCUGUGGCACAUGCGCAGGACUGUGCAGCUUCGCUUGGCAUAAGCAAAAUAAUUUCUUAUUUUAAUUUUUUGAGAAACAAAAAGAAAGUCCUAGUGGAAGCCGCAAACAGGAAUUGGAAAGUGGGGCAUUGUGGAUUUAGUGGUCCGCGUUGGCGUGUCAUACAUGGUAGCGUUUUGGAAGAGGAAAAAUACCAUGUCAGCGUUGAGGAAGGUAAAUAUUUGGUGGGUGUUGUGAGCAGUUGGUGAUGGAGAAGGGUGUGAAAGCUUGACUCUCUUUAAUCACUCACACAUUUCGGGAAGGGUGUUGUUGAACUUUGAAUCAAAGAGGAGUUUGUCAGUGCGGAGUUCAGAGCGCGCCUGUUUAAAUACUGUGUUUCAAGUUAUCCAGGUGAGCUGCUGUCGUUCACCCAGGUGUGCGCAGAUUAGCCAAGGGCGGAGUGAGUAGUCGACCUCCCGGCAACAAGCAGCCCCAGAAAGGCAAGGGGCAGAAGGGAAUGAUGGUGGUGUGAGCUUGCCAUUCAGAGGGAAGGCGAACCGACCCAACUUUUUGACGAACCUGUAUUGUAGAGGGAAGCAGGUGAAGAGGUACGAAAUCUGUUUGAGUAGGACGACGCAGGGGAGCGAGGAGCACUUGGCGGAUUGGCUGCAGGGGAGACCAUAACAGAAACGCGGCAGUGGGCGAUAGAUGGAAUGAGUGAGAGCUCAAAACUGCGCGCACUACUAAGGCAGCUUAACUGAGGACAACCUGGAUGAGUAUAAUUUUAUCUUUUGACAUUUACACAUGGAUGACUAAAAGUUUCAACUGCAGCAAACUUUUUAUUAACCGGCACCUAUAGGACCAGAAGUGUACCAGCUUAUCAACUGUUCCAGUUGAUCAAGAUCCGCUAAUCAAUGUAAAAACACACACUAAGUAAUAGAAAUAUAAUGCAGGGGGUAUACACGUUAUUGUUAUUCUUUAUUUACAGCAUAAAUCACUGAAAUAAUAAUGCAACUUUGCCUUAAAUGAAACUUACUGGCAGAGAUCCUUCUCACUUGUGCACUGACAUCACUUGGACAUCACAAAGAUCGUGAUAAUACAGUAGACUUCUGGUAUUUUAGGUGUAUAAUUUUUGUUAACUUAUCAAGGGUGUGGUUAAAACAAAGUUUGCUGUAUUAGAAUGACUUGGGUGCUUCUUUUCAUUAAACUAUUAAGUCUUCUAAAAUUCCAGAAAGUGAACUGCCGUGCUCUACUCCUCAUUUAGACCUGGUUACCUUGUCAACAAACCUUAAUGGUAUUUUAUAUAUUUUACAGUAUAUAUGAGCUACAACCUUGAUUAGUAAUAAUAUAUAAUAAAAUAAAGAACUGUAAAUGCUGGAGUUCUGAAACGAAAGCAAAGUGCUGGAGAGACUCAGCAAGUCUGGCAUUAUCUGUAGAAAGAAACAAGGUUAUCGUUUCUAGUCCAGUGAGACAGUGCCCUGAAAACAGAAAAAGCGAAGUAAUUUUUGAUGGUACUCUUUUUCAUUUUAUUGAGGUUUUCAUUGAGUUAGUAAAUGGUUAAGAAAUAAAUCUUGGGGAAUUAGAUUCAACAUCUAUACCUUACAAGAAAAAUCACAAUCCAAUAGAGUUUAUUUCAAUAUGGUAGCAGAAGAACAAUCUAGUUUUAUUAGAAACUCGCUUACAUGUAUGUGCAAAUGUGCUGACUUGGACAGAAUUUUUCAAUUGAAUCAUAAUCACUUUGCAUACACAAUGACCUCAAAACUGACAAUAUUUGCUAACAUAGGCUUCUAGAUUUAAAAAAAAAUCUAAAUUCAAAUCCGAUUGCAAUCUGAAAGGUCUAUUAGAUAUCUUCCUUUUCCUCCUCAGUUUUGUAGCAAAAAUGUGAAGACACAUGCCAUAGAGAUAUUAUCUUACUGACAAUUAAAUAGGUAUUGAUUAUAAUUUCCUACAUCUAAUGCCCUGGAAUUCGUGGUUGUAAUGAUGUAACUAUGAGUUUUUACAAGAGGUAUGUUGUGAGACUGAUAGUAGCUUUUGUCAUCCAUACAUGCAGUGAAAUGUGAAAAUGAAGUUGACUCCCUGGAAGUAUGUAGUGUGUGUUGUUGAAGUCCUUGCAGAUUAAAAAAAUCUUAGAACUUACUGGAUGUGAAUUUCCACUUUUUAAUGCUGUAAUUACAAUGUGAAAUCAGCCAAAAUUGCUAAAUGUUCCUAAUGAGGUAUAGAUGGAUUGUUAAUUAUGUAUUGAUUUCAUAGUCAUUGCUGAGAAACCAUUGUACAUUUAUUGCUUUUAUUAAUGUUUAAAAUUUCAUGUUUUUAAAGUAUGUUAUUUCAACACCAUUAAUCCUACGUGUAUACCCCAAACUAUGUUUCACUUUUUAGGGUAAUGUCAUUGCAAGAUCAAGAGUCGUUACUUGCAAAAUAUUGACCUACUGACUGUCUGACUUUAAGCUGCAGCGUAAUCUUUGGCUUUCAAUAUUUGUGUUUUAAAAAAAAACUCCACAAAUAAUCUUCUUUGUCUGUGCCUUUACUUUCCUUGUUAAUCAGAAUGUCUGCAUCAUUAAACUGGUCUUUCAUUUA